Molecule: ribosomal RNA, 46 nt
Filed under: Plenasium javanicum
Lineage: Eukaryota; Viridiplantae; Streptophyta; Polypodiopsida; Osmundales; Osmundaceae
Source: RNAcentral
UGGUGCAGCCAUACCAGUGCUAAUACACCAGAUCCCAUCAGAACUC